This 45-nucleotide non-coding RNA is filed under the name Trypanosoma brucei brucei. The record is from RNAcentral. Lineage: Eukaryota; Euglenozoa; Kinetoplastea; Trypanosomatida; Trypanosomatidae.
AACACAAACCAAUGAGCAAGUAUAAGUUAGAUAAGUGAUGUGAUU